AUUGUUGUCUGCAAACCUUCUCACUGUCUGCCCAAACCACCAGGGAAGAAAUCGAGCUACUUAUUUUGAGCCAUAUGAAGGACUAGGUUUCUACCUUGUGUCACAGUGCUUGUCUAGUGUGCAUGAAGCUGAGGCUCAAUCCCAGUACCAAAGAAGGAAGAAGUGACUUAGGCCUCUGCAUCUUAUAUUGUUGAUGAGCUCUCUCAUACGGACUUUAAAAUCCAUCGUCUUCACAUUAGCUCCACCUUAAGUAACAUUGUAUUUUCCAUCUGUACAAAGAACACAUUUCAUCAAAAGGAAAGAGACUGUUCUUUCAAGUUCCAGUAGGUGGCGAAAGGAGCUACUUGUUCUACAUCUGCUGGCCAAGAAAGCUUAUCCAGGUUCCUACUAUGUGUAAAGUGUCCAGCGGGGUAUCCUGGGGUUACAAGAAAUUAGUGAAGUCUCUUUCCUAGAAGAGCCCCAAGAUUGACAGGAGAAGACAAAGAAGUAUGCGGAUUAUUCCAGUACACAUUGAGGCCUUACAUCACUGCUGAGUCAUCAAAGAGGACAGUGACUAUGAAGGACAUCUUUGUAGCCCACCGGGACAGCUGUGCUCAAGCCAUGGCAGAGGGCCAGCACUCAAGAGUAGCUGGCUGGAAGCAUCAACAUGGAGGAUGCCAUCUCAUGGCUCAGAGGCUCCUUGCUCUGAAUACCCAUGUUCAUGUAAGCACCUGGGUUCCUGUAGAAUGCAUCCAAGGGGAGGGAAAAUCCCCAGCAUGGCCAAUUUCUACU
This is a long non-coding RNA of Mastomys coucha (southern multimammate mouse), 771 nucleotides long. RefSeq lists it as uncharacterized. The transcript is spliced from 3 exons. NCBI's taxonomy places the organism in Eukaryota, Metazoa, Chordata, Mammalia, Rodentia, Muridae. The record is from RefSeq and is a predicted model, not a curated record.